RNAcentral lists this ribosomal RNA (375 nucleotides) under uncultured bacterium. RNAcentral's name for it is "bacterial SSU rRNA". It matches the Rfam family "Bacterial small subunit ribosomal RNA", at positions 523 to 898 of the family's 1533-position model. The record is from RNAcentral.
AUACGUAGGGAGCGAGCGUUGUCCGGAAUUACUGGGCGUAAAGGGUGCGUAGGCGGCUAGGCAAGUCAGAUGUGAAAUCCCCGGGCUUAACUCGGGUGGUGCAUUUGAAACUGCUUGGCUUGAGUGCAGGAGAGGAAAGCGGAAUUCCUAGUGUAGCGGUGAAAUGCGUAGAUAUUAGGAGGAACACCAGUGGCGAAGGCGGCUUUCUGGACUGUAACUGACGCUGAGGCACGAAAGCGUGGGGAGCAAACGGGAUUAGAUACCCUGGUAGUCCACGCUGUAAACGAUGGAUACUAGGUGUGGGGGAGAUACAACCUCCGUGCCGCAGCAAACGCAAUAAGUAUCCCGCCCGGGGAGUACGGUCGCAAGGCUGAA